Molecule: ribosomal RNA, 230 nt
Filed under: uncultured bacterium
Lineage: Bacteria
Description: partial 16S ribosomal RNA
Rfam family: Bacterial small subunit ribosomal RNA
Source: RNAcentral
AAAGGGUGCGUAGGCGGCCUGAUAAGUCCGGGGUGAAAGCCCGUUGCUCAACAACGGAACUGCCCUGGAUACUGUGAGGCUUGAGUACAGACGAGGUUGGCGGAAUGGACGGAGUAGCGGUGAAAUGCAUAGAUACCGUCCAGAACCCCGAUUGCGAAGGCAGCUGACUAGGCUGUUACUGACGCUGAGGCACGACAGCGUGGGGAGCGAACAGGAUUAGAUACCCCAGU